GACGAACCGUGCGAACGUUAUUCGGAAUCACUGGGCUUAAAGCGCGUGUAGGCGGGACGGCACGUCGGUCGCUGAAAGCCCCCGGCUCAACCGGGGAACGGGCGCCGAUACGACCGGCCUGGAGGGACGUAGGGGGACCUGGAACUUCCGGUGGAGCGGUGAAAUGCGUUGAGAUCGGAAGGAACGCCCGUGGCGAAAGCGGCACACUGGGUCUCAACUGACGCUGAGGCACGAAAGCCAGGGGAGCGAACGGG
Molecule: ribosomal RNA, 254 nt
Filed under: uncultured bacterium
Lineage: Bacteria
Description: partial 16S ribosomal RNA
Rfam family: Bacterial small subunit ribosomal RNA
Source: RNAcentral